CAUUGAAUGAAUUAGGAAGCC
RNAcentral lists this non-coding RNA (21 nucleotides) under Rattus norvegicus (Norway rat). The record is from RNAcentral. Lineage: Eukaryota; Metazoa; Chordata; Mammalia; Rodentia; Muridae.